UACGUAGGGUGCGAGCGUUGUCCGGAAUUAUUGGGCGUAAAGAGCUUGUAGGCGGUUUGUCGCGUCUGCUGUGAAAAUCCGGGGCUCAACCCCGGACUUGCAGUGGGUACGGGCAGACUAGAGUGUGGUAGGGGAGACUGGAAUUCCUGGUGUAGCGGUGGAAUGCGCAGAUAUCGGGAGGAACACCAAUGGCGAAGGCAGCUUACUGGGACGGUACUGACGCUGAGGCGCGAAAGCGUGGGGAGCAAACAGG
Molecule: ribosomal RNA, 253 nt
Filed under: uncultured bacterium
Lineage: Bacteria
Description: partial 16S ribosomal RNA
Rfam family: Bacterial small subunit ribosomal RNA
Source: RNAcentral